This 484-nucleotide ribosomal RNA is filed under the name uncultured bacterium. RNAcentral's name for it is "bacterial SSU rRNA". It matches the Rfam family "Bacterial small subunit ribosomal RNA", at positions 30 to 508 of the family's 1533-position model. The record is from RNAcentral.
UGAACGCUGGCGGCAGGCCUAACACAUGCAAGUCGAACGGUAACAGGAAACAGCUUGCUGUUUCGCUGACGAGUGGCGGACGGGUGAGUAAUGUCUGGGAAACUGCCUGAUGGAGGGGGAUAACUACUGGAAACGGUAGCUAAUACCGCAUAACGUCGCAAGACCAAAGAGGGGGACCUUCGGGCCUCUUGCCAUCGGAUGUGCCCAGAUGGGAUUAGCUAGUAGGUGGGGUAACGGCUCACCUAGGCGACGAUCCCUAGCUGGUCUGAGAGGAUGACCAGCCACACUGGAACUGAGACACGGUCCAGACUCCUACGGGAGGCAGCAGUGGGGAAUAUUGCACAAUGGGCGCAAGCCUGAUGCAGCCAUGCCGCGUGUAUGAAGAAGGCCUCGGUUGUAAGUACUUCUAGCGGAGGAGGAGUAAGUAAGUACCUUAGUCUCAUUGACGUUACCGUCGACGAGAAGACGACGCGUAACUACGUCG